Molecule: ribosomal RNA, 496 nt
Filed under: uncultured bacterium
Lineage: Bacteria
Description: partial 16S ribosomal RNA
Rfam family: Bacterial small subunit ribosomal RNA
Source: RNAcentral
AUGAACGCUGGCGGCGUGCCUAAUACAUGCCAGUCGAGCGAACAGACGAGGAGCUUGCUCCUCUGACGUUAGCGGCGGACGGGUGAGUAACACGUGGAUAACCUACCUAUAAGACUGGGAUAACUUCGGGAAACCGGAGCUAAUACCGGAUAAUAUAUUGAACCGCAUGGUUCAAUAGUGAAAGACGGUUUUGCUGUCACUUAUAGAUAGAUCCGCGCCGCAUUAGCUAGUUGGUAAGGUAACGGCUUACCAAGGCAACGAUGCGUAGCCGACCUGAGAGGGUGAUCGGCCACACUGGAACUGAGACACGGUCCAGACUCCUACGGGAGGCAGCAGUAGGGAAUCUUCCGCAAUGGGCGAAAGCCUGACGGAGCAACGCCGCGUGAGUGAUGAAGGUCUUCGGAUCGUAAAACUCUGUUAUUAGGGAAGAACAAAUGUGUAAGUAACUAUGCACGUCUUGACGGUACCUAAUCAGAAAGCCACGGCUAACUACGUG